GCGCCGGUUGGGCCGCUGAUGAGCAGGCUGUAGCCGGCUUCCACCCAGUCACCGAGUGCGAGGCUCGUGAGCGAGCGCGGAUCGACGCCACGGCCAACGCGC
RNAcentral lists this transfer RNA (102 nucleotides) under Trinickia soli. RNAcentral's name for it is "tRNA-Gly". Lineage: Bacteria; Pseudomonadati; Pseudomonadota; Betaproteobacteria; Burkholderiales; Burkholderiaceae. The record is from RNAcentral.